Molecule: long non-coding RNA, 294 nt
Organism: Paramacrobiotus metropolitanus
Lineage: Eukaryota; Metazoa; Tardigrada; Eutardigrada; Parachela; Macrobiotidae
Exons: 3
Source: RefSeq, a predicted model, not a curated record
CGCCAAUAGAAUACUGCCAGUGUAGUUAUUUUAUGCGUGGAACUGUCAGGCACGGCUUGUCUGUAAAAGCAGCUGCAGCAUUUAACACAGCCUCAACAGAUGUAAGGACUCACAGCAAUGUUGGACAAGUUCUACGACCCUUAAGAAACAUUGCUUAGCUGGACAAUUGUGCAUGACGACAUGCAGUUAAGCACAGGGCAGAUGAAUUAUUGUUCUAUGCAUCUCCUUGGCCAGAACGCAAAUUUUCCAGGAAUUUCGUGGAUGUCGACAUCCAUGCUUGUACUUGCCAUCCUG